Molecule: ribosomal RNA, 856 nt
Filed under: Bacillus sp. (in: firmicutes)
Lineage: Bacteria; Bacillati; Bacillota; Bacilli; Caryophanales; Bacillaceae
Description: bacterial SSU rRNA
Rfam family: Bacterial small subunit ribosomal RNA
Source: RNAcentral
AAGUCGAGCGGACAGAAGGGAGCUUGCUCCCGGAUGUUAGCGGCGGACGGGUGAGUAACACGUGGGUAACCUGCCUGUAAGACUGGGAUAACUCCGGGAAACCGGAGCUAAUACCGGAUAGUUCCUUGAACCGCAUGGUUCAAGGAUGAAAGACGGUUUCGGCUGUCACUUACAGAUGGACCCGCGGCGCAUUAGCUAGUUGGUGGGGUAAUGGCUCACCAAGGCGACGAUGCGUAGCCGACCUGAGAGGGUGAUCGGCCACACUGGGACUGAGACACGGCCCAGACUCCUACGGGAGGCAGCAGUAGGGAAUCUUCCGCAAUGGACGAAAGUCUGACGGAGCAACGCCGCGUGAGUGAUGAAGGUUUUCGGAUCGUAAAGCUCUGUUGUUAGGGAAGAACAAGUGCGAGAGUAACUGCUCGCACCUUGACGGUACCUAACCAGAAAGCCACGGCUAACUACGUGCCAGCAGCCGCGGUAAUACGUAGGUGGCAAGCGUUGUCCGGAAUUAUUGGGCGUAAAGGGCUCGCAGGCGGUUUCUUAAGUCUGAUGUGAAAGCCCCCGGCUCAACCGGGGAGGGUCAUUGGAAACUGGGAAACUUGAGUGCAGAAGAGGACAGUGGAAUUCCACGUGUAGCGGUGAGAUGCGUAGAGAUGUGGAGGAACACCAGUGGCGAAGGCGACUCUCUGGUCUGUAACUGACGCUGAGGAGCGAAAGCGUGGGGAGCGAACAUGAUUAGAUACCCUGGUAGUCCACGCCGUAAACGAUGAGUGCUAAGUGUUACGGGGUUUCCGCCCCUUAGUGCUGCAGCUAACGCAUUAAGCACUCCGCCUGGGGAGUACGGUCGCAAUACUGA